Fukomys damarensis (Damara mole-rat) is the source of this 8160-nucleotide long non-coding RNA. RefSeq lists it as uncharacterized. The record is from RefSeq and is a predicted model, not a curated record. The transcript has 7 exons. NCBI's taxonomy places the organism in Eukaryota, Metazoa, Chordata, Mammalia, Rodentia, Bathyergidae.
UGAAGGGCAAGAGAGGUUCACUGCUAUCAACUCAUCCCGUCAAGAUGGCUCCCCAAGGCAGUACCAGAUGGGGUCUGAUUGUCAAAUUGUUCAUCCUCCUAAAUCUGCUCGUACCAGUGGCCCUUGAGACAAUAACUACCGAGUGGUGUCAACAACCCAUCGUCAGAGCUACCGCCAGCAAGGAGCAUCUGAGCCAAGAAUAAGAAUGACAAGUGUGUACGCUGCCAGCUUUGCAAUCAGCGUGGAAAUGAGCCGACUUAUAGAUGCUGAGCAAUCUUACAGAAGGGGCCCCAGCUGCAGACGAACGCCAGACCCAGAGUGAAAAACAAAGCGGGGACGUUCGGUAUUUUCCUCUCAGCUGCUGCAGACCGAGGGCCUUGGCAGUGGGGUGGGGUUGUCAGGAGUUACGGAGUUAUUUCUGGAGACCUUCAAGAACUGUGGUCCCCGCCCCCCUUGAGGAAGGAUUUCGUCUGUUAAAGCAAUGACCAACUCCAUAUCAGACAAAGUAAACGUGCAUGCCGAGCCAGAAGCACCUCAGCAUACCUGAAAGCAAGGAGAGUAUGACAGACUACUAGUCGAGGAGUCUCCCGUGGCCCAAAGAUACUCAAGCCACACUUACCUGGUCUGGAUCAUCUCAGAAUAUGUCAACUUCCAUCUAUUUUGCAAGUCUAAAAGGUGGGAUCUGGGACUGCCAGUGCCUUCACUGAGGGUCAGAGGCCUGAAACCCAAGACCCCUGACACGCCAGCUAGCCCACCCGAAGUCCAUGACCAUCUUCCCUGAUGCCACCCCAGCAAACACUACCAGCAAAAUCAACUAUGCUGCUCUAGGCUCUGGGUAAAGAAAGACAUACAAGACCAGAAGGCCUAAGUAUGCAGAAAAGGGGCCUUAACCCCUGAGGAGGGCUGAAGAGUGCUGGAGCAGGCACGCGCCCUUGCUGAUCAAGAACAUUUAACAAAUAACCACCACCCAGUAGGUGGCACUGCCGUGCAGGAGCAGGACCCAGACUGGGAUUACAACCGCAAGAUGGGUAUCAAGGCCCGGGACAGGUACAUUAAUUGUUUGCUCCAUGGGCUAGGCAAAGCCACCAUGAAAUCUAUAAAUUAUGAUAAGCUUAAUGAAAUCAUACAGGACAAAAAUGAAAACCCUUCUGCCUUCCUGCAAAGGCUGACCGAUGGCCUCUGUCAGUAUACUAAACUGGACCCUGAGUCUGUUGAUGGCCAGCGGCUGGUCAUGAUGCAUUUUUUUCUCUCAAAGCUACCCUGACAUUAGACUUAAAUUAAAAGGCUUAAGAAGGAACCCCUAACUCCUCCUUCUGAGGUUUUGGCCAUGGCAUUUAAGGCCUAUUAUGGCCAUGAUGAUCUCAAAACCACAAAAAGGUACCAAUUACUAGCAUAGGCCAUCAAUCCUACCAGGCCACAAUGGCUUCAUAACAGGGGACCCUUUAAUAAGAGACCCUCUCACCCACCGGGACCCUGCUUCCAUUGUGAUCAGGAGGGCCACUGGGCCAAGGAGUGCCCAAACCCAAGCCUUCCACAAAACCCUGCCCAAAAUGCAAACAGAGUGGACAUUGGGGUUCUGACUGCCCCCUGAUGUCCACCCAUCAUUGGGCUGCCAUCCCCACCAUUCCCCCAAAUGACCUCAUCGGUCUCACAAUGGCAGAGGAUCUAUGAAGAGGCCUUAGGAUUCCCGCUCAGGAGCCCAGGGUGACUGUCAUCGUGGCAGGUAGGACGAUCGCCUUUUUACUCGACACUGGUGCCAGUUUUUCUGCACUGUAAGAAUAUUGGGGGCCCACCUCCCUGUCUCGGACCUCUGUUGUUGGGGAAGGAGGUCAAAAACAACGCCUUCGACCGACUCAUCUCCUGUCGUGCACAACUGGUGAUUUUUCAUUUCUCCAUUCCUUCCUAAUCCUCCCUUCUUGUCCUGUUCCUUAUUGGGUCACAACAUCCUCUCCAAAAUUGGCACCUCCAUCCAUUUCACGACACGGGACCCCUCCAGCACUCCGAUGUCUUCCCUUUGCCUUUUGUUGUCCCAGGCUAUCGAACCCCAGACUCCAUCAUCCAGAUGGUCUGACCCUGCCUAGGUAAAUCCCUGGGUGUGGGACAUUCAAUCCCCCUCAGUGGCCACAUGCCCUCCGGUUAAGACCUUCCUUAAAAACCCUACAUACUUUCCAACUCAGGCUCAAUACCCCUCCCUCUUUCUAGCCUAAACAGACUGGCUCCAAUUAUCAAAAGUUUAUUAGAAAAGGGAUUUUUGAGGCCUGCCAAUUCCCCACACAAUCCACCCAUCUUAGUGGUCAGAAAGCCUAAUGGGACAUAUCCGCUAGUUCAGGAUCUCUGCAUCAUUAAUACGGCUGUGGUUCCAAUCCACCUUGUUGUCCCCAAUCCAUAUAUGCUCCUGUGUUCUAUUCCAUCUAAUCCCACCCAUUUUUCAGUCCAAGAUUUAAAAGAUGCCUUCUUCUCCAUUCCUUUACAUGCAGAUUCCCAAGAACUUUUUGACCUUACGUGGACUAGCCCUUCCACUGGUGUCUCCACACAACUAACCUGGACUGUCGUACCCAAGGGUUUUGAGAUAGCCCCCAUCUGUUUGGCCAACUCCUAGCUCAUGGUCCGUCUCUUCUCCAGCUUCAAGGUUCACAAUGUAUCCAAUAUGUAGAUGAUCUUCUCUGUGCCCCUUUGAUUACUAUACUCCAACAAGAUACUUACAUAUUUUAAAAUUUCAUUUCAGAAAAGGGAUACUGAGUCUUGCCAACCAAAGUUCAACUCUUUAAACAAUAGGUCAUACACUUUGGGCUGUCUCUAUUUCCUGGGCUUCGAUACCUCAGGUCUUGGAUCCCAAAUUAUUCCCUUCUAGCUGCCCCCCUCUAUGAGGCCUCUAAGGGAAACCCAUACGAACCGGUAAAUUCCUUAAUAGCUACUCCCUUUGCCCAUCUCAAAUCCUGCCUAUUAGAGGCUCCUGCUUUACACCUACCUGAUCUUUCUCGCCACUUUUACCUCUAUGUGUCAGAGAACAAGGGAUCUGCACUAGGGGUUCUGGGCCAUCAAAUGGGGCCCACUUUUGCUCCAGUGGUUUACUUGUGCAAAAGGUUGGAUCCCACUGUCAGAGUCUGGGCCCCCUGUCUAUGAGGCCUAGGUGCCACAUUCCUCCUAGUGCAGGAAUCAGAAAAGCUCACGUUUGGGUCCCCAACUGUCAUCCAGUCUCAUCAUUCCAUUUCAGAUCUGUUAAACUACAAAAACCUACAUAGCUUACCCCCUUGCAGAAUCUUGUCUCUUCAGACCACACUUCUCCACGACUCCUCGUUAACCUUCCAGCUUUGUCCUGCUCUAAAUCACUCUGCCCGAUUACCAGCUUCCAACCAGGGUCCUCUCCACGAAUGCUUAGAAACUUGAAACCCUUUCACCUCAUGAUUCCCAUAUACAGGAAGGACCCCUCUCUUCCCCUGAUUUCAUUUGGUUCACAGAUGGCAGUUCUCUUGUUCGAAACGGGUCCAAAUGGGCAGGAUAUGCUAUUGUGUCACAGUCUGGAAUUAUUGAGCAAGGACCAUUGCCUUCCCACGCAAACACCCAAAAGGCAGAACUUAUCACUCUCACUCGCACUUUGACUCUGGCUCCAAAUAUGCUUUCCACAUUUUUCUCUCUCACAUAGCAAUUUGGCGGGAAAGAGGGUUCUGCUCAACCAUGGACAGCUCUGUUCAAAAUUCCAAGUUCAUCUGUAAGCUCUUACAGGCCUCUAGGUUGCCCACAGCAAUUGGCAUCAUACACUGCAGGGCCGAUCGUUCCGAUCCAUCGGAGAUAACUGAGGCCAAUAACAAGGCUGAUCGUACAGCAAAAAGAGCAGCUCUGGCUUCAACCGUGCUUGCCGUGAUGGAUACCCACUAAAUUGACCAGCACAGUCAGAUAGAAAGCCUCACACAAGAUCAACUCACAUAUCUUCAUAAAAUUUUGCACCCUGGCUCUGGGGCCCUACUUACUCACUUUCCUAGAACCACUGACCACUCUCUUCCCCUCCGAUAAGCAAUUCCUUCAGAUUCUCCUCCACCUGCACCUGCAAUAUAUGCCAAAAGACCAAUCCCUCCUCAAGACCUGCCUCAUUUCCCACACAUCGGCAAGGUGCCUGCUACCUGCCAUGGAUUGGCAAACUGAUUUCACACACAUGCCUGAGAAAAGAAGACAUAAAUACCUGCUAGUUCUGGUAGACACCUCUUCUGGGUGGGUUGAGGCCUUCCCCACUACAAAUAAACGUGCUUUCACUGUUUCUGUCCUCCUCCUCAAAGAAAUCAUACCUAGGUUUGGACUUCCUACUAUGCAGUUUGAUAAUGGUCCUGAAUUCACCUCUCAGGUAACCCAAGGCCUUACAAAGCUAUUAGGAAUCUCCUGGCAUUUUCAUAUCCCAUUCCAUCCUAAAUCAUCGGGAAAGGUAGAACGGACUAACAGGUCCAUCAAGACCAUUCUCACAAAGUUGAGCCUAGAACUCCAUCCACACCAAUUGGAUCGCCCUCCUUCUGCUCGCCCUACUCAGACUUAGAUCCCUGCCUAAGGCCCCCCUCCAGAUUUCCCCUUUUGAAUUGAUGUUGGAAGCCCCCUGCUGCCCCCAGGAUUGACUCCCCAGUCUCUCCAUUGCCCCCCGGCUUACUAACCCCAUUACUUAACUGGGUCCGAUUCCAAAUAUGGCCACAUGCAGAUACACUGCUGCCGUCCCUGCUCCCUGCACUGCCGAUUACCUAUCACCCAGGAGACCUGGUUCUCCUGGCUCCACCACAUCAACAGAAAGACCCACUCAAUCCUAAAUUUCAGGGACCAUUCACAGUUGUCCUUUCAACUCCGACAGCGGUUAAACUUAAUCCCUUCCCAGAUGGUUCUAUUGCUCUCGUGUUAAAUCAUAUCUUCAUGCUCCUCUCCCAGUCAUAUCCACAGGACCUCAUCUAUGCUAUUCAGCCACCCCCACGGGACCUCUGAAGGUCAAACUUUCUCAGAUUCCAAAAGACGUGGUUGCCCAGGAUCCUUCACCAUCAUCCAGUCCCAAGUCAGAUAAACCAACCUGUUCUACCCUCUUGUUCUCUCAUGCGGUAUUCUGACACAUUCCACACUACAGCACUCACUGGUAUCCUAAGUGUUCUUAUAUUAGUACUCCUGGGACUUGUCCUUGGAAUAGGAUUGGCCAUAGUAUCUCCUCCCAAUUACAAUUUUACCUCCAGGUGUCUACUCACAUUGGCCUAUUACCUCAUAAUCUCACUCUUUGCCAUUCUUUAUUGCUGGACACAAUAAUGGUUCCUCUCCUGCUCCUGUUUUCUCUCCUAAACCUUACCCAAGCCAAAAGACCUGCAGUGUGCACUCCCAGCCUUACUCAGCCCUCCUUCAGACCCAGGUAGGAUCUCCUGACUUUACAUUCCAGGUCACCUUGUGCCAAUUCUUUGACCAAACCCCAUCAAAUUCCUGCCGCUCUUCAGACUGGCCCAUGGCUGAUUUCUGCCGUCCUUUCUGUAUCUACCUAUGCCCCACCACUGGCCCUACACACUGCCAUUCACCUGGACAGCCCAAUUAGAUCAACAAAUCGUCUUUCCUCCAACUUGUUAGAUAAUCCUCAGCCCUUUAAGAUGAACAUCACAGUCAAAGAUCCCACUGAUCCAUCAUGGCAGUCCGGAAGGACGUGGGGUCUCAGGCUUUACGUGAAAGGGAUGGAUCCAGGUUCACAGUUACCAUCACCUGCAGGUCUUGGAUACCCGGGACUGCUUCACCCCCAUCCGUUAUCCAAGUUGUGCAUAAUGUUUCACCAGAACUCCACCACUUGGACCGAUCCCUGGCCCAACUUAUAAGGCAAGCCAGACUGGAUGGAACAAAAAUUGUUGCUGUGGGUGUUUGGGUCUCUCCAGAGGCUCUUUUCUUGGUUAUCUAAUACCUCCUACUGCACUGAGGGCUGCUGGACAGGACUCAACAUACGUGGGCUACUGUCCAUCACCCCACAGGCUUGGCCACUUCCCUGGCCUCUUCCAUGGAAUCAUUCAUUCCACCCAACAAAAGGCUUAAUACAGACACCAGGCCAAAUUUUUCAUUUAAUCACCCAGCCCCAGUGUGCCUCAGUCUUACAGGAAACAUCACCAUACUGGGGAUACCAAUAUCUAAUUGUGCUAAUGUCACCCGUUUAUCUUUUAAACAACUCCUUCUCCAACAUAACCAUACUGUGUGGAACAACUGUGUGGUCGGGAAUUAAUACCUCUUGGAAUGCUCUCUGCACUCCAGUUCUGUCGGCCCCGCUUUCUAUAUAAUACCAGGAAAUGAGGGAAUCCCCAUCCCCAUAACUAGGACGGCCCAAACCUGACAGAAAAGAGCAUUACAGGUGGCCAUUAUGCCCCUCAUAUCAGCACUGGGCAUAGCAGUAGGUCUGGUUACAGGAACGGCAGGAUUGUCCCACUGUGUUGUCCAAGAAAAACACCUGACAGAACAACACGAAGAAGACAUUACCCAACUUUCUAAGGUGAUCCUGACACUCCAACAACACAUCAAUUCACACUCUCAGGUGGUCCUGCAGAACAGUCGUGGACUCGAGUUCCUAUUCACAGAAAAAGGAGGACUUUGUUUAGCUAACCAAGAAAACUGUUUUUUCUUUGUUAACUAAUCAAGAGUGGUACCUGACCAAAUCUGCAGACUUCAGGAGAGCCUGGAAAGGCGACGCAGUGAGUGUGAGUCAGGGACUAAUGGGGGACUAACUAGCUGGCUCAACAGGCCUCUACUAACUUCUUUACUUCCCUUUAUGACCCCUCUAUUGGUUAUCCUUACUCUGUUGGCGGUCACCCCCUAUGUUCUCCAUUUUAUUCAUUCCCAGAUCAGCCGCCUUUCUGCUCAAAUCUCCGGACGGACGGCUCACCAGAGGAUACUUCAGGCCAGAGACCUAAACGAGACCACCGAGUUUACAUGGCAGCCAACCAACCAACCAUAGCUCAGAGCUCAGCUUGGUUGGAACAUUUUCUCAAUGAUCUUUGAAUUGACAUUCUCUGGUUUGCUCCCCACCUUUGCCCUGUUGCCCACACAGCAGACUGGGUCACUAACGUGUGGCUCCAACAAACUUUAUCGGACUUCACCCCAACUGAAAUCACAAUCUUUAACUUUUUUACUCGUUUUACUAACCCUCCCACCCAGUCCACAGCCUGGUACAUCCCAGGAUAUUCCUUUGGACUAGAAGAUAUCCUCAGGACACCCGAUCUGUCCCAAAACCCAUGGUCCGAAACUUUUCAGGCUCCUCGCCCAAAAUUUCCUCCCAUAUAAUUGGGCUUUAAUACCUCACCUUACAUAUCCUCCCCAACACUGUAUCUACUGCACACAGGAGGUUGUCUCUAUCCUAAGGAGCCCAACACAAAGGGAACAAAAAAGAACCUACUCCCAUGGUACUACACUGUUCAUCAGGAGGAUUUCAGAUAUUCCUCCAACCCCUCCGAGCACUGUCAUAUGUCCACACAAGUUCUGUUAAAGCCUGAUGGGCCCCAACAAGUGCCUGGCACCUCCUGGUUUCCCUCGGGCUCAGGCAUUGCUCUCCUGGUCCACCUGUUCUGCCAUGAGCCUGCCUUUCCAAAAGGGUGUACGCUAGAAGAUCCCCUUCAGGCAGACUAUGGCUUUUAUUAUGUUCCCAUCCUCUUUGUACUGACCUUUCUAGACAGCAUACAAGGCUGACCACUUCCUCAGGUCAUCACCGAGAUAUUCCAAGAUGGGCUACACAGGGCUCGUAAAGAUCGGAUAGGGACCUGAGUAUGACAACAUUGGGAGGCCUGAUGUGGGCCUCAUAGAAAUUAUCUUUUACUCCUCUUUGCUCCUUCACUAACUGAUUUGUGUGCUUCGACUCUUCUCAGGGAGCCCUACCAACAGUUCCAGUGGGAAUGCUACUGCUGUCAACAAUUCCAUGUUCAUAAAGGACAACGCAGCUGCCCGUGGCCCACGCCUGCCCCCAGACAGCUUCGUGGCCCCAAUGUCAGCAGAAGUACUUACAAAACACAGACACACGGCCCCUUUUCCCUGGCGUAUAAUGUGCCAGCUGCUGUCUCCAUCUAAACCAAAGAGGGGGGAAUGUUAGGGACCUGACACCGCCUCCGUCACAGGCUGCAUUCUGCUGGUUCUUCUUGCCUCCUAAAAUGACCUCAUGCUCUUACCUUUAGUUUCCCUCCCCACAAGGCCACA